AACCCCUCAUUUCACAGAAGAAAUAACACCAUCUCUUUCAACAUCUUGUUUUAGGCUUCUCAGUAGAUUUCCUAAAAGACUGAUGAACAAGAUAAUUUGACUGACACCAACCCAGUUUUUCCUGACACCCCACACACAUGCAAGAUCUGACAGUUGCCUUCCAAACAUCUUUAUGCCUCUGAAGUUCCAGUAAAUGCUUCUUCUGGGCCCGUCUACCCUGUGUGUUGCACCAGCGGUGGCCAAAGCACACAGCUGGCAUAUGCCCUGUGUGAGAGUGUGAGUUUUAGCUUGCCCAUACAGCCAUGACUGAGCUAUGGAAAGUGAGCUGACAGAAAAGUCUGCAGAGCUAACAGAAAAGACACAUCUUGCAGCUUGACCACUUGAGGGAAAUGAUGCUUCAGAACUAACAGUUCACCAGCCACCACAGGGACACCGACUGAGGAAGAAUUUGUCUGGAGACUCCCUAGAGCAUUACAAAGAGCUUUACAAAAUUUUUCAGUCUAUAGUGAGGCAGUGAUCUGCACUGUUCUUGUGAAAUGAGCUGCGUUUGCAUGGACGUUGGCCGUUGCAAGAGAUGACCCUCACUUCCAGCUGCUGAGUAACCCUUCUUCCUGUUCUGUGUUACUGCAUCCCAAAACCCAGCUCUUUGGGAGGUGGCUGUGUGGAAUAAGGUGCAGAGAACUUUCUGUGCAGCAGAGGCCCAUAUCACAACCAGAGCAUGUGAGGAUAACUGCCUCUACAAGGAGAGCAUUAGUUCUUUUCCCUCCUCACCAAACAUCCUGUGUGCUCCUCUCAGGACUCAUGACAACUCAGUGGAGAAGAGCUGUUGAGUAUGGCCAGCUAAAGCAAAGGAGAUUUGCCUUAGUUAAGAGUGAGUGCUUUCUGGUUAUGUUAAAAACUAGCACUUCGUCCUCUGAGGUACCCGUUGAUUUUGAUUGGUGUUACAAGCCACCUCGUGAUGGGCUGUAGUAGAAAAAGCAGUUGCCACUG
Molecule: long non-coding RNA, 990 nt
Filed under: Corvus moneduloides (New Caledonian crow)
Lineage: Eukaryota; Metazoa; Chordata; Aves; Passeriformes; Corvidae
Description: lncRNA (ENSCMUG00000019615.1)
Source: RNAcentral